This is a non-coding RNA of Prunus mume (Japanese apricot), 659 nucleotides long. NCBI's taxonomy places the organism in Eukaryota, Viridiplantae, Streptophyta, Magnoliopsida, Rosales, Rosaceae. The record is from RefSeq and is a predicted model, not a curated record.
UGGCGAGGAGGUCGUCGACGUAGGCAUCGAGGGUGGUGUAACGACGGAAGUCAAAGUAGUCCGGGUUGACGCUGCCGGCGCAGACGAGGUCGUAUACGAUGACGCGGUAGGACUGCGUCAGGUAAGGGAGAAUGCGCUGCCAGGCGGACUGGUCGGUGCCGAAGCCGUGGGCGAGGACGAGGAACUUAUCUCCGGAGCCGACCACGCGGACGUUUAGGGCGUCGAUUAUGCUGGUGCUGACCAUCUUUGACUGUUAACCGGAGUAGGGGCUUCACUGUUUACUGAUCUCCUUUAGCUAGGGGCAUAUGGUUUUGGACAGAGCUUUUAUCCUGUGUGAUAAGGCAGGCUUCGGAUUGUGAUCUUUUUCCACUCAAAUAGUACUUGGCCUUCAAAGAGGAAAGAGGUGGCCCGGGUGUUGUGUUCUUAGAUGAGGUUUUUGAUUGGAGUUUUCUGUUUGGUUCAUACCAAAUACAUGGUGUUUUGUGGGUCAUACUUCCUGUCAAUAGCAUUGUGACGCGGAUACGUGUGCGAAAGGUUUUUUUUUUUGGAUGUUUUAGAUGAAUUAUUUUUAUAUAUGUGUCAAACUGUAAUUCGCUUAACUAUGAAUAUCUCUUUGCAGGCGAAGAAGGCAAAUAGUAUCCUCAUACAAAAACAAAAAA